Molecule: ribosomal RNA, 269 nt
Filed under: Bacillus sp. MH11.2
Lineage: Bacteria; Bacillati; Bacillota; Bacilli; Caryophanales; Bacillaceae
Description: partial 16S ribosomal RNA
Rfam family: Bacterial small subunit ribosomal RNA
Source: RNAcentral
CGGCGGACGGGUGAGUAACACGUGGGUAACCUGCCUGUAAGACUGGGAUAACUCCGGGAAACCGGGGCUAAUACCGGAUGGUUGAUUGAACCGCAUGGUUCAAACAUAAAAGGUGGCUUCCGCCACCACUUACAGAAGGACCCCCCGCCCAAUAACUAAUUGGUGAAGGAACCGCUCACCCAAGGCAACAAUCCUAACCCAACUGAAAAGGUGAACCGCCACCCUGGGACUGAAACACCGCCCAAAAUCCUACCGGAAGCAACAAUGGU